UUUGUUACAUAAGAGUGACCUUCCAGUUUGGUCAUUUGUCAGGAUGAAGCAUAUAUGUGAAUUGGCAAGUAUUAAACAGCAUUGUGCAUUCUUCUGUCGUGCAGUGUUACCUGUCUCCUGGCACAUGU
RNAcentral lists this small nucleolar RNA (128 nucleotides) under Dichanthelium oligosanthes. RNAcentral's name for it is "small nucleolar RNA snoR137". It matches the Rfam family "small nucleolar RNA snoR137". Lineage: Eukaryota; Viridiplantae; Streptophyta; Magnoliopsida; Poales; Poaceae. The record is from Rfam by way of RNAcentral.